UUCUAGAAUAGAAGUCACUCAUCUCAGGGAGCCAGCAAACUCCCCCCUCCAACCACCCUCAUUUCCAGAACCUUCCAGUUGUCCCGAGUGGACAGACGGGCUGGACUGGGGCCCUGCCCACAGGGAACCGGAAGCCUGGAGCCACCCCACCUGGUCCCUGUCCCUGUCACUCACUGGGUCCCCAAAGGUCUGGCUGCAGAGGGGACCCCUCCAGCCUGAGACAUGGACGCGGAGCGGGAAGCUCUGCAGAUCCACGCCUACCCUGAGGUGCAGACCUUCUGCCAGAAGCACGGCCUGACGCUGGAGGUUGUGGACCUGCUAUGGGGCCUGGGGGAGUCGGAGGCGUCCAAGCUGCUGAGCCCUGAGCUGCGUCUGGAGGAGCUGGAGCGAUGUCAGCACUCAUCUCUGGGACCCACGUUUGUGG
Long non-coding RNA from Erinaceus europaeus (western European hedgehog), 424 nucleotides. RefSeq lists it as uncharacterized. Lineage: Eukaryota; Metazoa; Chordata; Mammalia; Eulipotyphla; Erinaceidae. The record is from RefSeq and is a predicted model, not a curated record. The transcript is spliced from 3 exons.